Molecule: long non-coding RNA, 1436 nt
Organism: Vicia villosa (hairy vetch)
Lineage: Eukaryota; Viridiplantae; Streptophyta; Magnoliopsida; Fabales; Fabaceae
Exons: 3
Source: RefSeq, a predicted model, not a curated record
AACAGGUCAAUAUUUAACAGGUACCACCUUGCUAAUUCUUGUGUUUUGAAAUUAAAGUUUUGCAUAAGAAGUUAGGAAUGAGAACAUUGAAAUAAUCCAAUUUUUGUUUGUUGUUCUUCACUUUGACUUGACCAAAUGACUGCAUAAGACCUUAUUAGUUUAUGUAUAUUGUAGCAUGAUUGACAAAUAUUAUAAGACCUUCUUAAUUUAUAGGAAUUUUCAAAAGCUCACUCUUAAAGAUAGUCCACGAAGUGCAUUCACCGACAAAGACGGUCUCUCUGGACUGUAAUGGCAUAAACAUUUGAUCUAUGGACCAUCUAAACAUAAUCGUUAUGGCUCUCAACCAUUCCUUGGAAUUGGUGAUGCUGUACAAAUGGCCAGGAAACUACACAUUGUAGAAUCAUGGAGUCGAUUAAAAAGUUUGGAGAGUCUCAAGAGUCAUCAGAAAAGCUUCGUUAGUUCACAUUACUCUAUAAGUUUUUUCUAUAUCAACAUGUAUAAUAGCAAUAAUAGCAAUGACACGUUUGUUUGAUGGAUUUUCAAACUUUCUUAUCUUAUGUUUGAUCCUGAAUUAUGCAGUAUGAAGUGUAACUCCCAAAACUAUACUUUGGAACUGACAUGUUUCUGUUUCUCUAUCUGUGAGAAUUGUUAUGUAUCAUGAAUAAAGGUGAUCUUAUACUUUAACAUGUUGCAGUAAUACAACAAUUGGGGAUCUUAAACCAGUUGAUACAAUGUUGCCAAUGCCCUGUCAAUGCAAUUUUCUAAAUAAUAGUUGGUGCAUUUGGAAAUCAAGGAACCAUAAAAUCUUCUGAAACGAAGAGAUUCAAAUUGGAAAAAUGAUAGAGGAAGCAAAGAUAUGCGCUUGGAAAUGGCUGAAGAUUAAAUCCAUGUUGAUUAAGGAUGAUUUUGUUUUGUUUUGUUUAAAUCCUAAAGCCUGUUUGUGUGGUGUGGAUGCCUGAGUUAUUUCUGUUUGUGGGUCAAUCUGGUCUGAGAAUUUUGGGUCGUGGCAAUAUAGUGCUCCAUCAGUUCAGCGGCGUUAUGUGGUUUCUGCAGUAUUUGGUUGAUCAGAGCGCCAUUUGCAGCCUGUGUUGAAGGGAGUAUUUCAAUUUAGUCUCUUUUUGCUGGGUUCUGUUGCUGGUAGCUUCCCCUUUUUUGGCUUUCUGGCUGUUGUGUUUGCAUCAUUUGCGCUUCGUUUUGGUGUCUCAUGAGCUUAGGGUUAUGUGUUGUGCUAUCUAUUUUAAUAGGUGGAGUUAUCCUAUCCUGUACUUUGCAGUUUCAUGGUUUACUCUUGAUUUGGGUUAGCGUGUAUUUUGCCUUAGGUGUUACUCAGUAGUGAUGGUACUGGUUUUAGUUUGGGUAGCUUUGUUGUUCAGAGGUUUUGUUAUGUGGAUUAUGGUGGUCUGUAGCACUUCUUGUGUGCUAUCUUCUUCUUAAUU